RNAcentral lists this ribosomal RNA (288 nucleotides) under uncultured Thermoprotei archaeon. RNAcentral's name for it is "partial 16S ribosomal RNA". It matches the Rfam family "Archaeal small subunit ribosomal RNA", at positions 1066 to 1352 of the family's 1478-position model. The record is from RNAcentral. Lineage: Archaea; Thermoproteati; Thermoproteota; Thermoprotei.
GCUACCAUUAUUCUCUGGAGUAGUGGAGCGAAUUAGACGGACCGCCACAGUUAAUGUGGAGGAAGGAAGGGGCCACGGCAGGUCAGUAUGCCCCGAAACCCUAGGGCUACACGCGGGCUGCAAUGGUAUUGACAAUGUGUUCCGAAUCCGAAAGGAGGAGGCAAUCAUUAAACAAUAUCUCAGUUAUGACUGAGGGCUGUAACUCGCCCUCACGAAUAUGGAAUCCCUAGUAACCGCGCGUCACUACCGCGCGGUGAAUACGUCCCUGCUCCUUGCACGAAUUCGCCG